RNAcentral lists this ribosomal RNA (963 nucleotides) under Salmonella enterica subsp. enterica serovar Enteritidis. RNAcentral's name for it is "bacterial SSU rRNA". It matches the Rfam family "Bacterial small subunit ribosomal RNA", at positions 144 to 1102 of the family's 1533-position model. Lineage: Bacteria; Pseudomonadati; Pseudomonadota; Gammaproteobacteria; Enterobacterales; Enterobacteriaceae. The record is from RNAcentral.
UAACUACUGGAAACGGUGGCUAAUACCGCAUAACGUCGCAAGACCAAAGAGGGGGACCUUCGGGCCUCUUGCCAUCAGAUGUGCCCAGAUGGGAUUAGCUUGUUGGUGAGGUAACGGCUCACCAAGGCGACGAUCCCUAGCUGGUCUGAGAGGAUGACCAGCCACACUGGAACUGAGACACGGUCCAGACUCCUACGGGAGGCAGCAGUGGGGAAUAUUGCACAAUGGGCGCAAGCCUGAUGCAGCCAUGCCGCGUGUAUGAAGAAGGCCUUCGGGUUGUAAAGUACUUUCAGCGGGGAGGAAGGUGUUGUGGUUAAUAACCGCAGCAAUUGACGUUACCCGCAGAAGAAGCACCGGCUAACUCCGUGCCAGCAGCCGCGGUAAUACGGAGGGUGCAAGCGUUAAUCGGAAUUACUGGGCGUAAAGCGCACGCAGGCGGUCUGUCAAGUCGGAUGUGAAAUCCCCGGGCUCAACCUGGGAACUGCAUUCGAAACUGGCAGGCUUGAGUCUUGUAGAGGGGGGUAGAAUUCCAGGUGUAGCGGUGAAAUGCGUAGAGAUCUGGAGGAAUACCGGUGGCGAAGGCGGCCCCCUGGACAAAGACUGACGCUCAGGUGCGAAAGCGUGGGGAGCAAACAGGAUUAGAUACCCUGGUAGUCCACGCCGUAAACGAUGUCUACUUGGAGGUUGUGCCCUUGAGGCGUGGCUUCCGGAGCUAACGCGUUAAGUAGACCGCCUGGGGAGUACGGCCGCAAGGUUAAAACUCAAAUGAAUUGACGGGGGCCCGCACAAGCGGUGGAGCAUGUGGUUUAAUUCGAUGCAACGCGAAGAACCUUACCUGGUCUUGACAUCCACAGAAGAAUCCAGAGAUGGAUUUGUGCCUUCGGGAACUGUGAGACAGGUGCUGCAUGGCUGUCGUCAGCUCGUGUUGUGAAAUGUUGGGUUAAGUCCCGCAACGAGCGCAAC